This 77-nucleotide transfer RNA is filed under the name Pseudomonas aeruginosa. RNAcentral's name for it is "tRNA-Met". Lineage: Bacteria; Pseudomonadati; Pseudomonadota; Gammaproteobacteria; Pseudomonadales; Pseudomonadaceae. The record is from RNAcentral.
UGGAUUUGAACCAACGACCUUCGGGUUAUGAGCCCGACGAGCUACCAGACUGCUCCAUCCCGCGUCUGUGUGGGCGC